Molecule: ribosomal RNA, 465 nt
Filed under: Vreelandella stevensii
Lineage: Bacteria; Pseudomonadati; Pseudomonadota; Gammaproteobacteria; Oceanospirillales; Halomonadaceae
Description: partial 16S ribosomal RNA
Rfam family: Bacterial small subunit ribosomal RNA
Source: RNAcentral
CCUACGGGCGGCAGCAGUGGGGAAUAUUGGACAAUGGGGGCAACCCUGAUCCAGCCAUGCCGCGUGUGUGAAGAAGGCCCUCGGGUUGUAAAGCACUUUCAGUGAGGAAGAACGCCUGGUGGUUAAUACCCAUCAGGAAAGACAUCACUCACAGAAGAAGCACCGGCUAACUCCGUGCCAGCAGCCGCGGUAAUACGGAGGGUGCGAGCGUUAAUCGGAAUUACUGGGCGUAAAGCGCGCGUAGGUGGCUUGAUAAGCCGGUUGUGAAAGCCCCGGGCUCAACCUGGGAACGGCAUCCGGAACUGUCAAGCUAGAGUGCAGGAGAGGAAGGUAGAAUUCCCGGUGUAGCGGUGAAAUGCGUAGAGAUCGGGAGGAAUACCAGUGGCGAAGGCGGCCUUCUGGACUGACACUGACACUGAGGUGCGAAAGCGUGGGUAGCAAACAGGAUUAGAUACCCGUGUAGUC